This 527-nucleotide ribosomal RNA is filed under the name uncultured bacterium. Its description in RNAcentral is "bacterial SSU rRNA". It matches the Rfam family "Bacterial small subunit ribosomal RNA", at positions 354 to 894 of the family's 1533-position model. The record is from RNAcentral.
GCAAGGAAUUUUUGGCAAUGGGCGCAAGCCUGACCAAGCAACGCCGCGUGCAGGAUGACGGCCUUCGGGUUGUAAACUGCUUUUAUGGGGGAAGAAUCAGACGGUACCCCAUGAAUCAGCCCCGGCUAACUCUGUGCCAGCAGCCGCGGUAAUACAGAGGGGGCAAGCGUUGUCCGGAUUGACUGGGCGUAAAGCGUAUGUAGGUGGUACGGCAGGUGGGGUGUUACAUCUCCAGGCUUAACCUGGAGGCAUUGCUCCAAACCGCCGCACUCGAGUCGUGCAGAGGUUGGUGGAAUUGCCGGUGUAGUGGUGAAAUGCGUAGAGAUCGGCAGGAACACCUAAAGCGAAAGCAGCCAACUGGGCACGGACUGACACUGAGGUACGACAGCGUGGGGAGCGAACAGGAUUAGAUACCCUGGUAGUCCACGCCGUAAACGAUGUCUGCUCGCGUCGUGGGAGUUAACCAUACUCCUGGGACGCUUAGCUUACGCGGUAAGCAGACCGCCUGGGAACUACGAGCGCAAGCU